GCACACAUUCGUCAAGUAAUUAAUUCUCCACUUAGCAUUCUCUCUUAGCUUAUAUGCAGCCUUAACAGAUGUCACUGUAAAUAUUGCCAAGUUAUGUAUCAGACUUGUGGGCAGCCCUAAGCAACUUGGGCAGAAUAUUGCUUAAUGUACUCUCUACAGUAGCUCUGCUGGAGCAUCUAGUUCUUCACCUACUACUCACAUACUUCAAAUUAGCCAUCUUUGUGUGCAUCUUCUAGCAUGCAUUCUCUGUUUUAGUAAUGAGCUCUACUUUUAACAGCAGGAAAUAUCUUCCUAUGUAACUUGUAAGAGAGUGAACACCUCACCAGCACCCUGCUUCAAAUACACCAACAGAUACAUACUAGUGCCUAAGUAACUGACAAAGCAUAACUAUGGAGUUAAUUUAUUCUCAAGUUGAGUAUCCUAUUAUUGAUUAGGUACCAGAAUUAAAGGGUUUCUGAAGAAGGAACACUCUACUCCAAAUACAAACUGGAACAAGCAGUUUAACUGUAUUAUUACCUGUUGUUUAUAUGCGUUAUCUUCUCCAAACUAUAGUUACUUCCCCUUUUUCCCCAUUGCCAAAAUAAAAUGCAAAUGCAGCUCACAUUGCAAUUUUAUCAUUCAAGACACAGGUAAUGAUUUUAAGCUUUAAGUUUUGUGGCACAUUAUAAGUGUCCAGAUAUCAAACCAAUUUCUUCUCGCAAAGCCAAUGCUAAAUGUUACAGUUUGAUGCCCUCCUUGUAAUGGAGAUUAAGAUUCCCUUCUACUUUAUCCUUAUAGCAAAGCUGAACUGUGGUUGAUAACAUAAAUAACUUGGUAGUAAGUUC
Molecule: long non-coding RNA, 824 nt
Organism: Pezoporus flaviventris
Lineage: Eukaryota; Metazoa; Chordata; Aves; Psittaciformes; Psittacidae
Exons: 2
Source: RefSeq, a predicted model, not a curated record